UAGAGUUGAUCCUGGCUCAGGAUCAACGCUGGCGGCGUGCCUAAUGCAUGCAAGUCGCACGCGCGGCCUUCGGGCUGGCGCGUGGCGAACGGCUGAGGAACACGUGCGUACCUGCCCCAUCGUGGGGAAUAUCGCGUGGAAACACGCGCUAAUACCGCGUACGCUUGCCCUCGGGCAAGGAAAGCCUUCGGGCGCGGUGGGAGGGGCGCGCGGCCCAUCAGGUCGUUGGCGGGGUAACGGCCCACCAAGCCGAUGACGGGUCGCUGGUCUGUGAGGACGGCCAGCCAGACUGGGACUGAGACACGGCCCAGACACCUACGGGUGGCAGCAGCAAGGAAUCUUCCCCAAUGGGCUCACGCCUGAGGGAGCAACGCCGCGUGGAGGACGACGGCCUUCGGGUUGUAAACCCCUUUUCGGGGGGAUGAUAGGGACAGUACCUCCGGAAUCAGCCCCGGCUAACUCUGUGCCAGCAGCCGCGGUAAGACAGAGGGGGCAAGCGUUGUCCGGACUUACUGGGCGUACAGCGCGCGCAGGCGGUACGGUAUGUGGCCGGUGACACACGCCCGCUUAACGGGCGAGGGUCUGGCUAGACAGCCGUGCUAGAGGCUUGGAGAGGGUCAUGGAAUACCCGGUGGAGCGGUGAAAUGCGUAGAGAUCGGGUGGAACACCAGCGGCGAAGGCGGUGACCUGGCCAAGACCUGACGCUGAGGCGCGAAAGCGUGGGGAGCAAACGGGAUUAGAUACCCCGGUAGUCCACGCCGUAAACGAUGUGGAGCCGGUGCCGGUGGGUGAUUGCGCCCGGCGGUGCCCAAGCUUACGCGAUGACUCCACCGCCUGGGAACUACGGCCGCAAGGCUAAAACUCA
RNAcentral lists this ribosomal RNA (865 nucleotides) under uncultured Chloroflexota bacterium. RNAcentral describes it as "bacterial SSU rRNA". It matches the Rfam family "Bacterial small subunit ribosomal RNA", at positions 1 to 903 of the family's 1533-position model. Lineage: Bacteria; Bacillati; Chloroflexota. The record is from RNAcentral.